Long non-coding RNA from Etheostoma cragini (Arkansas darter), 161 nucleotides. RefSeq lists it as uncharacterized. The record is from RefSeq and is a predicted model, not a curated record. The transcript has 3 exons. NCBI's taxonomy places the organism in Eukaryota, Metazoa, Chordata, Actinopteri, Perciformes, Percidae.
GAAACAAUCCGAUCAGGAUAGUUUUGUGGUUCGAAUCCUAUCAUCUACAGGCUCGACCCCUGGGAGUAGAUUCUGAAAGCAGUGGCGAGAUCUCAGGAGAACAAAGCCACACAAAGUAGGGUUCUGUUCACAAUGUUCACAAGAAUUAAUGAGACACACAA